GACGAACGCUGGCGGCGUGCUUAACACAUGCAAGUCGAACGGAAAGGCCCUGCUUUUGUGGGGUGCUCGAGUGGCGAACGGGUGAGUAACACGUGAGUAACCUGCCCUUGACUUUGGGAUAACUUCAGGAAACUGGGGCUAAUACCGGAUAGGAGCUCCUGCUGCAUGGUGGGGGUUGGAAAGUUUCGGCGGUUGGGGAUGGACUCGCGGCUUAUCAGCUUGUUGGUGGGGUAGUGGCUUACCAAGGCUUUGACGGGUAGCCGGCCUGAGAGGGUGACCGGCCACAUUGGGACUAAGAGACGGCGCAGACGCCUACGGGAGGCAGCAGUGGGGAGUAUUGCACAAUGGGCGGAAGCCUGAUGCAGCAACGCCGCGUGCGGGAUGACGGCUUUCGGGUUGUAAACCGCUUUCGCCUGUGACGAAGCGUGAGUGACGGUAAUGGGUCAAGAAGCAUCGGCUAACUACGUG
Molecule: ribosomal RNA, 468 nt
Filed under: uncultured bacterium
Lineage: Bacteria
Description: partial 16S ribosomal RNA
Rfam family: Bacterial small subunit ribosomal RNA
Source: RNAcentral